RNAcentral lists this ribosomal RNA (497 nucleotides) under uncultured bacterium. Its description in RNAcentral is "partial 16S ribosomal RNA". It matches the Rfam family "Bacterial small subunit ribosomal RNA", at positions 28 to 507 of the family's 1533-position model. The record is from RNAcentral.
GAUGAACGCUGGCGGCGUGCCUAAUACAUGCAAGUCGAGCGAACAGAUGAGGAGCUUGCUCCUCUGACGUUAGCGGCGGACGGGUGAGUAACACGUGGAUAACCUACCUAUAAGACUGGGAUAACUUCGGGAAACCGGAGCUAAUACCGGAUAAUAUAUUGAACCGCAUGGUUCAAUAGUGAAAGACGGUUUUGCUGUCACUUAUAGAUGGUUCCGCGCCGCAUUAGCUAGUUGGUAAGGUAACGGCUUACCAAGGCAACGAUGCGUAGCCGACCUGAGAGGGUGAUCGGCCACACUGGAACUGAGACACGGUCCAGACUCCUACGGGAGGCAGCAGUAGGGAAUCUUCCGCAAUGGGCGAAAGCUUGACGGAGCAACGCCGCGUGAGUGAUGAAGGUCUUCGGAUCGUAAAACUCUGUUAUUAGGGAAGAACAAAUGUGUAAGUAACUAUGCACGUCUUGACGGUACCUAAUCAGAAAGCCACGGCUAACUACGUG